UUGAGCAACUCCUCACGCGGGAACAGGCCUGCCUCAGCCCACACGGCAUACAGAAUCGGCGCCGCAUGCCCUUUUGACAGUACGAACCGAUCGUUGUGGGGAUGCUGCGGAUUCUUCGCGUCGUAGCGCAUCUCACUGAAAAACAGCGUGGCGACAAUCUCCGCCGCCGACAUGCACGUGGUUGGAUGGCCGCUUCCGGCCUCGGUCGUCGAUCGCACGCAGUCGAUGCGGAGCUGAGUGGCGACGUUGUGAAGCGCUGCAGAGGUUGAUGUGGCGG
Molecule: unclassified non-coding RNA, 277 nt
Filed under: uncultured fungus
Lineage: Eukaryota; Fungi
Description: sequence contains ITS1
Source: RNAcentral